Long non-coding RNA from Lucilia sericata (common green bottle fly), 488 nucleotides. RefSeq lists it as uncharacterized. The record is from RefSeq and is a predicted model, not a curated record. NCBI's taxonomy places the organism in Eukaryota, Metazoa, Arthropoda, Insecta, Diptera, Calliphoridae. The transcript has 2 exons.
AGCUAACGAACGACAGCAGCGGCAAAAUUUUUGAAAAAAAAAAGAAACAAAACACAUUAAAACACACACUAAGCGACAAAAUAUACAAAAACACAAACGGGUCGUUUUAGUGUGUUUAGUUAAUUUAGUUUAGUUAGUGGCGAGAUUUCAAGCGUUAAACUUGUGUGAAUUUGGUUUUUCGUGAAAUUGAGAGUUAGAGAAAAUUAACUGAAUAGUUGAAAAUUAAAAGAAAUUACUUUAACUUUAACAACUUGUUUGUUAAAAUAAAAAAAAUUAUUAUUUAAAAGUCAUAAAAUUUAAAUUUCAAAAAAAAGUGAAAAAAAAAUUGAAAGUAAAUUUAUUUUAUACGUUUUCCAAAAUUAUCAUCAUUAUCACCGUUGUUACUUUUCAAAUCGUGUGUAAUUGAGAUCUGCGCUACCGUAUGUAGCUAACGCUUUGAUUGUGUUGAAAACCAAAAAAAAUACAAAGAUAAAAAUAAAUAAAAUUUU